CUGAUAAUUCAGCCAGUUGAAUGCAUUGAAUGAAAUCCAGAGUCUCAACUUGCUUAACUUGAGUACAUGACUGUCUGUCAUUGACAGACAACACAGCAUUGAAGUCACCUGCAACCAGCCAAGGAUUAGUAAUACCAGUAGCAAGAUUUUGUAUGUGUUUCCACAUUGUUCUUCUCUGGUCCAGACCAUUAGAACCAUAAACCACAAUGAGCAGGCAGAUCAGAUCCCCAACAAGAUUAUGAACACUGCAAUGAAAAGAUUGGCCAUCCUCCUGAAUUCCUGUGACACUGAUCUUCUUAGGAUCCCAUAAAAUCCAGAUUCUACCUCUUGGAGACUCCCUAUAGUUAGCUACCAUACACCAACCUGGGAGCACCAGAUUAGCAAUUCUCCCUGCAUUAUUCUCCUUGACCUUUGUUUCUACCAAACUAAC
RNAcentral lists this long non-coding RNA (430 nucleotides) under Nicotiana benthamiana. RNAcentral's name for it is "long non-coding RNA (NBEN_LNC004486)". The record is from RNAcentral. Lineage: Eukaryota; Viridiplantae; Streptophyta; Magnoliopsida; Solanales; Solanaceae.